CAGGGGUUACACCCCAUUGCCCACCCCGGGUCCUGCUGGGAGGUGAGGGCGGAACGCGGGGCGCGGGCUGCGGGACGCGGCGGAGCGGUGUUGGGGGUGCACCGCCGGGGGGGCGCUGUGAGCGACGGACGCGGCCCUGCGGAGCGAUGAGCGCGGCGGUGCUGUGCUUGAAAAAGGGAACAUUGCUAAAGCAAGUGUUUGCUCUCAGCCGAGCAGCAACACCCAGAGAAAGUUGUCUGUGUGCUGCAGGUGAUGCACUUGUGAGUUACCAAAGACACUACAGAUCCCGUCCUACGCAUGGCAUUGGGAAGUAUAAAUAUCUGCUCCCAAAGGAGGUAGGCACAAAGACCUUUCAGCUGACCCAUCC
RNAcentral lists this long non-coding RNA (367 nucleotides) under Chrysolophus pictus (golden pheasant). RNAcentral describes it as "lncRNA (ENSCPIG00010009029.1)". The record is from RNAcentral. Lineage: Eukaryota; Metazoa; Chordata; Aves; Galliformes; Phasianidae.